GCGCUGCAGCACCCCGUCUACCAGCAGCAUGCAGUGGACAUAGGGUGACAUUGAAAAAAGAAAUAUGUUCACUCUAUUCUCCUCCCAUAAAAGCUGAAAGUGAACAGUUGGGUUAGUUCAUCCUGCUCCAACAAAGCAACUCCAAAAAACCAGUGUAUAUGGAUCAGCCUGAAAUGUCUCCUUUUGUACAAUUCUUCAGAUCUUAAAUUACAUCUGUCUUCAUCUGGAAGAAAAGAUGCAGACAAAUAGAGAUCACAGAGUAUGUUUGGACUAUUAUGGAGCAGUUAGAAAUCCCUGAAAAUACGGAGACAAAAAGGCAUCUCACGCCAGUGGUGUUAAGUUCCUGGCUGAGUCACACUGCGCAGUCCCCUCUGAAGCAAGUUAUAGAGAUCCUGUUCUCUCUGUGAAGUCUACCCCUGCUACCACUGCAAUCAAUGGGCAUUUUGCCAUUGACUUCAGCAAAAACCAGAUCACGCUCUGCCUCUGGAUCGGCUACUAUGCAGCGAUUAAUCAGUCAACCACAACGAUGCAAAUGAGACUUUUAAACUGCGUAUGGGAGAAUCUGCUUGUCUCCUUGACAAGCCACACAGAGGAGAACAGCAAUCUAUUGGCAAUUGGUUGUGACUAAUUAAGUGAGCUAAAUGCAUGAGCAGCUUAAUAAACAGUGAUAGCCAAUUGCUAAACAACUACUAACUGCUAAUUGCAAAAGUUUCUGAAGCCUUUUGACAUGGACUUUGGUUAGUUACACACAAAGCUGCGUAGAGGAAUAAAUGAGUUGCCGCUCACUGAUGACUGCUUUCCACUGCAGAGCCCAGGAAGAAAUUGGAAAAGAAAAGUGAAAAGCAGCUAAGAAAAGGAGAUUGCCAAAGCAAAAACGCUUUCUUAAAAAGGAGCCUGGGAUGGGACAAAUUCAGCCGCGAUGCAAAGGAAGAACUGCAUCAGUGAAGACAGAGAGGACGUGUAUCUAAUGGUUAGAGCAAGGCACUUGACUUGAUAAGGAACAGAAAGCCCCACUAGUCUCCUGUGUGUUUGGCAGGAAUACUCAAGGACUAUGCCCUUUAUUUAAGGGGCC
This is a long non-coding RNA of Mauremys reevesii (Reeves's turtle), 1072 nucleotides long. RefSeq lists it as uncharacterized. The transcript has 4 exons. NCBI's taxonomy places the organism in Eukaryota, Metazoa, Chordata, Testudines, Geoemydidae. The record is from RefSeq and is a predicted model, not a curated record.